Molecule: ribosomal RNA, 343 nt
Filed under: uncultured bacterium
Lineage: Bacteria
Description: bacterial SSU rRNA
Rfam family: Bacterial small subunit ribosomal RNA
Source: RNAcentral
AGGGUUUGAUUAUGGCUCAGGAUGAACGCUGGCGGCGUGCUUAACACAUGCAAGUCGAACGGGAAACCUUUUAUUGAAGCUUCGGCAGAUUUAGCUGGUUUCUAGUGGCGGACGGGUGAGUAACGCGUGGGUAACCUGCCUUAUACAGGGGGAUAACAACCAGAAAUGGUUGCUAAUACCGCAUAAGCGCACAGGACCGCAUGGUCCGGUGUGAAAAACUCCGGUGGUAUAAGAUGGACCCGCGUUGGAUUAGCUAGUUGGCAGGGUAACGGCCUACCAAGGCGACGAUCCAUAGCCGGCCUGAGAGGGUGAACGGCCACAUUGGGACUGAGACACGGCCCAG